RNAcentral lists this ribosomal RNA (277 nucleotides) under uncultured Staphylococcus sp. RNAcentral describes it as "partial 16S ribosomal RNA". It matches the Rfam family "Bacterial small subunit ribosomal RNA", at positions 86 to 356 of the family's 1533-position model. Lineage: Bacteria; Bacillati; Bacillota; Bacilli; Caryophanales; Staphylococcaceae. The record is from RNAcentral.
CUGAUGUUAGCGGCGGACGGGUGAGUAACACGUGGGUAACCUACCUAUAAGACUGGGAUAACUCCGGGAAACCGGGGCUAAUACCGGAUAAUAUUUUGAACCGCAUGGUUCGAUAGUGAAAGACGGUUUCGGCUGUCACUUAUAGAUGGACCCGCGCCGUAUUAGCUAGUUGGUAAGGUAACGGCUUACCAAGGCGACGAUACGUAGCCGACCUGAGAGGGUGAUCGGCCACACUGGAACUGAGACACGGUCCAGACUCCUACGGGAGGCAGCAGUG